RNAcentral lists this ribosomal RNA (467 nucleotides) under uncultured bacterium. RNAcentral describes it as "partial 16S ribosomal RNA". It matches the Rfam family "Bacterial small subunit ribosomal RNA", at positions 28 to 506 of the family's 1533-position model. The record is from RNAcentral.
GACGAACGCUGGCGGCGUGCUUAACACAUGCAAGUCGAACGGAAAGGCCCUGCUUUUGUGGGGUGCUCGAGUGGCGAACGGGUGAGUAACACGUGAGUAACCUGCCCUUGACUUUGGGAUAACUUCAGGAAACUGGGGCUAAUACCGGAUAGGAGCUCCUGCUGCAUGGUGGGGGUUGGAAAGUUUCGGCGGUUGGGGAUGGACUCGCGGCUUAUCAGCUUGUUGGUGGGGUAGUGGCUUACCAAGGCUUUGACGGGUAGCCGGCCUGAGAGGGUGACCGGCAAAAUGGGGACUGAGAUACGGCCAAAACUCUUAGGGGAGGAAGAGGUGGGGAAUAUGGAACAAUGGGCGGAGGCGGGAUGAAGCAAGGCGGCGGGCGGGAGGACGGCCUUAGGGUUGUAAACCGCUUUCGCCUGUGACGAAGCGUGAGUGACGGUAAUGGGUAAAGAAGCACCGGCUAACUACGU